RNAcentral lists this ribosomal RNA (764 nucleotides) under Atherigona varia. RNAcentral describes it as "eukaryotic LSU rRNA". It matches the Rfam family "Eukaryotic large subunit ribosomal RNA", at positions 119 to 755 of the family's 3401-position model. Lineage: Eukaryota; Metazoa; Arthropoda; Insecta; Diptera; Muscidae. The record is from RNAcentral.
CUUUAUCUUUAUGGUAAAUGUGAGAUGCAGUGUAUGGAAUGUUCAAUUUCUAUCAUGAGAAAUUAACGAUUUAAGUCCUUCUUAAAUGAGGCCAUUUAUCCAUAGAGGGUGCCAGGCCCGUAUAACGUUAAUGAUUGAUAGAGAACAUUUCCAAAGAGUCGUGUUGCUUGAUAGUGCAGCACUAAGUGGGUGGUAAACUCCAUCUAAAACUAAAUAUAACCAUGAGACCGAUAGUAAACAAGUACCGUGAGGGAAAGUUGAAAAGAACUCUGAAUAGAGAGUUAAAUAGUACGUGAAACUGCUUAGAGGUUAAGCCCGAUGAACCUGAAUAUCCCAUAUGGAAAAUUCAUCAUCAUGACAAUGGUAUUUAUCAUAUUGUUGUAAUGGUGUGCAUUUUUUCCAUAUAAGGACAUUGUAAUCUAUUAAUAUGACAUAAAUUUAUCAUAAGAUCAAUGCUAAAAGUUUAUUCAAAUUAUUUUGCUUGCAAUUUAACAUAGAAUAAGUGGUAUUGAUUUGAUAAAGUGUUGAUAGAUUAAUAAUGUAUAGUGCUUGAAUACUUGUAUUCUAUAAUAUCAUGAUGAUCAUUGAUUAUUAUGUUUAUUAUAUGCACUUAUACGAUUAACAAUGCGAAAGAUUCAGGAUACCUUCGGGACCCGUCUUGAAACACGGACCAAGGAGUCUAACAUAUUUGCAAGUUAUUGGGAAUUAAAAACCUAAUAGCGAAAUUAACAUAACUUGAUAUAAUGGGAUUAGUUUUUAGUACU